GGAGAGAUGGCCGAGUGGUUGAUAGCUCCGGUCUUGAAAACCGGUAUAGUUCAGAAAAAAGAACUAUCGAGGGUUCGAAUCCCUCUCUCUCCU
Molecule: transfer RNA, 93 nt
Filed under: Stachyurus himalaicus
Lineage: Eukaryota; Viridiplantae; Streptophyta; Magnoliopsida; Crossosomatales; Stachyuraceae
Also listed under: 4 other names
Description: tRNA-Ser
Rfam family: tRNA
About the family: Transfer RNA (tRNA) molecules are approximately 80 nucleotides in length. Their secondary structure includes four short double-helical elements and three loops (D, anti-codon, and T loops).
Source: RNAcentral